AGCUUUGCGCAGUGGCAGUAUCGUAGCCAAUGAGGUUUAUCCGAGGCGCGAUUAUUGCUAACAGAAUUUACAUUGGGGUCCACUCCAAGUGUUGUACAAUGUCAUGUAUCCACUGUCAGAGUAUCACAUAUAAUGCUCUGAAAUACU
Molecule: small nuclear RNA, 147 nt
Filed under: Canis lupus familiaris (dog)
Lineage: Eukaryota; Metazoa; Chordata; Mammalia; Carnivora; Canidae
Description: U4 spliceosomal RNA (ENSCAFG00030025503.1)
Rfam family: U4 spliceosomal RNA (bases 1-67)
Source: RNAcentral